This 492-nucleotide ribosomal RNA is filed under the name uncultured bacterium. RNAcentral's name for it is "partial 16S ribosomal RNA". It matches the Rfam family "Bacterial small subunit ribosomal RNA", at positions 29 to 507 of the family's 1533-position model. The record is from RNAcentral.
AGUGAACGCUGGCGGUAUGCCUAACACAUGCAAGUCGAACGGCAGCACAGUAAGAGCUUGCUCUUACGGGUGGCGAGUGGCGGACGGGUGAGGAAUACAUCGGAAUCUACUUUUUCGUGGGGGAUAACGGAGGGAAACUUACGCUAAUACCGCAUACGACCUACGGGUGAAAGCAGGGGAUCUUCGGACCUUGCGCGAUUGAAUGAGCCGAUGUCGGAUUAGCUAGUUGGCGGGGUAAAGGCCCACCAAGGCGACGAUCCGUAGCUGGCCUGAGAGGAUGAUCAGCCACACUGGAACUGAGACACGGUCCAGACUCCUACGGGAGGCAGCAGUGGGGAAUAUUGGACAAUGGGCGAAAGCCUGAUCGAGCAAUACCGCGUGAGUGAAGAAGGCCUUCGGGUUGUAAAGCCCUUUUGUUGGGAAAGAAAAGAAGCAGGUUAAUACGCCGCUGUUCUGACGGUACCCAAAGAAUAAGCACCGGCUAACUUCGUG